UUUCCGUAGGUGAACCUGCGGAAGGAUCAUUGUCGAAACCUGCCCAGCAGAACGACCCGCGAACUUGUAUAAGCAACCGGGGGCGGGGGGCGUUCUCGCCCCGCGCCCCCGAACGGCGGGGAGACACUCGUGCCUUCUUGCCGAACAACGACCCCCGGCGCGGUCUGCGCCAAGGAACUUCAACUACAGAGUGCCUCCGGUCGCCUCGGAAACAGCGUGCCGGCCGAGGGCGAAGCUUGAGCAAAACCAUAACGACUCUCGGCAACGGAUAUCUCGGCUCUC
This 282-nucleotide unclassified non-coding RNA is filed under the name plant metagenome. RNAcentral's name for it is "partial contains small subunit ribosomal RNA, internal transcribed spacer 1, and 5.8S ribosomal RNA". The record is from RNAcentral.